This 255-nucleotide ribosomal RNA is filed under the name uncultured bacterium. Its description in RNAcentral is "partial 16S ribosomal RNA". It matches the Rfam family "Bacterial small subunit ribosomal RNA", at positions 524 to 777 of the family's 1533-position model. The record is from RNAcentral.
UACGGGGGGGGGCAAGCGUUGUUCGGAAUUACUGGGCGUAAAGGGCUCGUAGGCGGCCAACUAAGUCAGACGUGAAAUCCCUCGGCUUAACCGGGGAACGGCCUCUGAUACUGGCUGGCUGGAGUUCGGGAGAGGGAUGCGGAAUUCCAGGUGUAGCGGUGAAAUGCGUAGAUAUCUGGAGGAACACCGGUGGCGAAGGCGGCAUCCUGGACCGAUAUUGACGCUGAGGAGCGAAAGCCAGGGGAGCAAACGGGG